CCAGCUUUUCUCUGAGUUACAUGUUGGGCAUUUGAGGUCAAAGAUCAGGCUGUACCUAAGACACAAAGAAGAUGGAACUCUGGUGUGGGAGGCCUUGGUGAAACCAGGAGACCUCAGACCUGAAGCUACUCUGGUCCCUGCAUUCCAUACAGAUGCCCCAGCUCAGCUGCACUUUGUGGACCAGCAUUGGGAGCAGUUAGUGGCUCGAGUGACUUCAGUGGACCGAGUCCUGGACAAGCUAUAUGGACAGGUGCUGAGCGGUGAGCAGUAUCAGGAGGUACGUGCUAAGCACACCAAUCCAGCCAAGAUGAGGAUGCCAUUCAGCUUCAGGAACUCCUGGGACAAGAACUGCAAAGAUAAACUCUAUCAAGCCCUGAAGGAGUCUGACCCUCACCUGAUUAUGGAUAUCUGGGAGGGGUGGGGCCAUGGAGGAGAACCAUGAGGGCUCCUCACCUCACUGUGAGUCCUGACUCUCCUGACUGCUUUUAGGAUCUCUGUUUCUUCACCUCUAAACAAAUUGGCCUCUGACCUGCCUUCUAUUAUCAAGCUAUGGAAUAUCGGUGAUACACUUGCUGGGCAUUACAUGUCCAUGCCCAGAAAUGCCCCAUGGGCACCCAGACUGCCUCCCUUGGCUUCUACAGGCCAGAGGUCCAGGUGGGAUGGCAGCAUCUCAGGAAUGUUCAUGUGCAGCUGGCAGGACACCUGCAAACCUUGUAGAAACCUCACCCACACUCCCCGUCCAGUGACCACCACAGCCAGGCUGAGAGCCCUCUCUGUGCCACUGAUAUGUGGGGAGAAUUAGGGAGAAAAUGCAGCUAGUACCUCUAAUAGAGACAGACCAUGGAAGUGGACAUUUUGGAAGUUUUAAUAGCUUGUAAAUAAGGACAAAAACAUAUAUUUUUUACUUGUCAACAUUGAGCUUGGUUUUUCUGUUAGUUCAAGUUGUGCUUUGUGGUUGUUGAAGUUUAGCUGGAUUCCUAGAGCCAGGAGAGGGUGAAGGAGGCUGCAGGGGGAAUGGUGUCUAGGCCUCACUUCAAUGACUUCUGCUGUGCACAGUCAUUCCAUGUCCUUGCAGCUGUUAGGCACCGCUGCCCAGUGCUCCCGGAGCACCCUGUGUCCCCCACCCCAUCAGAACACUCAGCACGUGGCAUUGUCCCGACAACUUUUCUCCUGGUCUCUCCACACUAGAUGGUAAGCAUCCUGAGGACAGGAACCAUGUCUAAGCAGGUUAUUGCCAGUGCCUAGGGCAGUUCCUGGAAGAUAGUGGGUGUUAAGUGAGGGUUUAUGAAUAGGUAAAUGAUAAAGGACAUUCCCCAAAUAUAUCCUUUAAUUCCCUUCCUGGCCACUAUACUGUU
Long non-coding RNA from Phyllostomus discolor (pale spear-nosed bat), 1355 nucleotides. RefSeq lists it as uncharacterized. Lineage: Eukaryota; Metazoa; Chordata; Mammalia; Chiroptera; Phyllostomidae. The record is from RefSeq and is a predicted model, not a curated record. The transcript has 3 exons.